GAGAGCAACAGAGAGAGAAGGUAUUGAGAGAGAAGGUAUUGAGAGGGCAACAGAGAGAGAAGGUAUUGAGAGGGCAACAGAGAGAGAGAAGGCAUUGAGAGGGCAACAGAGAGAGAAGGUAUUGAGAGGGCAACAGAGAGAGAAGGUAUUGAGAGGACAACAGAGAGAGAAGGUAUUGAGAGGGCAACAGAGAGAGAAGGUAUUGAGAGAGCAACCAGGAGAGAGGAGGUAUUGAGACAGCAACAGGGAGAGAGAAGGUAUUGAGAGAGCAACCAGGGUAUUGAGAGAGAAACCAGGAGAAAGGGUAUUGAGAGAGCAACCAGGAGAGAAGGUAUUGAGAGAGCGACAGAGACAGGUAUUGAGAGAGAAACAGGGAGAGGGAAGGUAUUGAGAGACCAACCAGGAGAGAAGAUAUUGAGAGAGCGACAGACAGAAGGUUUUGAGAGAGCAACAGGGAGAGAAGGUAUUGAGAGAGCAACCAGGAGAAAGGGUAUUGAGAGAGCAACCAAGAGAGAAGGUAUUGAGAGCAACCAAGAGAGAAGGUAUUGAGAGAGCAACCAGGAGAAAGGGUAUUGAGAGAGCAACCAGGAGAAAGGGUAUUGAGAGAGCAACCAGGAGAGAAGGUAUUGAGAGCAACCAAGAGAGAAGGUAUUGAGAGAGCGACAGAGAGAGAUGGUAUUGAGAGGGUGUUGGGUUAAUGAGCGGUGAUGAUGUUGGCAGAGGGAGCAGAGCAGGACAGCUAACAGGCUAAUAAAGACCAUCUGUCAGGGGGUCUACUCUACGUGGGUGGGCCACUAGCUGGGCCACUCAUGUUAACACCUACAUUACAGAACAAAGACUUUACACAGGUUGGAGCUGGGAAGCUGCUGUGCUGGGGUGAGAGACCAACUUCAAUGCAUUUUGGGGAGCGCAGGCCUUCAGUGUGUGUGUGU
Long non-coding RNA from Oncorhynchus keta (chum salmon), 932 nucleotides. RefSeq lists it as uncharacterized. The transcript is spliced from 4 exons. The record is from RefSeq and is a predicted model, not a curated record. Lineage: Eukaryota; Metazoa; Chordata; Actinopteri; Salmoniformes; Salmonidae.